CGGACGGGUGAGUAACACGUGAGAAUCUGCCGUCAGGAGGGGUGAUAACGGCUGGAAACGGACGCUAAUACACCAUAUGCCGUGAGGUGAAAUGAAUCCUCGCGUGAGGAUGAGCUCGCGUCUGAUUAGCUAGUUGGUGGGGUAACGGCCUACCAAGGCUUCGAUCAGUAGCUGGUCUGAGGGGAUGAUCAGCCACACUGUGACUGAGACACGGCCCAGACUCGUACGGGAGGCAGCAGUGGGGAAUUUUCCGCAAUGGGCGAAAGCCUGACGGAGCAACGCCGCGUGAGGGAUGAAGGCCUCUGGGCUGUAAACCUCUUUUAUCAAGGAAGAAGAUCUGACGGUACUUGAUGAAUAAGCCACGGCUAAUUCCGUGCCAGCAGCCGCGGUAAUACGGGAGUGGCAAGCGUUAUCCGGAAUUAUUGGGCGUAAAGCGUCCGCAGGCGGUCUUUUAAGUCUGUCGUCAAAGCGUGGAGCUUAACUCCAUUUCUGCGAUGGAAACUGGGAGACUAGAGUGUGGUAGGGGCAGAGGGAAUUCCCGGUGUAGCGGUGAAAUGCGUAGAUAUCGGGAAGAACACCAGUGGCGAAGGCGCUUUGCUGGGCCAUAACUGACGCUCAUGGACGAAAGCCAGGGGAGCGAAAGGGAUUAGAUACCCCAGUAGUC
RNAcentral lists this ribosomal RNA (664 nucleotides) under uncultured cyanobacterium. Its description in RNAcentral is "bacterial SSU rRNA". It matches the Rfam family "Bacterial small subunit ribosomal RNA", at positions 99 to 795 of the family's 1533-position model. Lineage: Bacteria; Bacillati; Cyanobacteriota. The record is from RNAcentral.